This 687-nucleotide unclassified non-coding RNA is filed under the name Leishmania donovani. RNAcentral describes it as "gene:unknown". The record is from RNAcentral. Lineage: Eukaryota; Euglenozoa; Kinetoplastea; Trypanosomatida; Trypanosomatidae.
CGCGCGGUAUGUCAGGGCCCAGCACCGACACUCUGCGAGGAAGCAAGGCAGCUCGCUGCCUGCUCUCCGGUACGGCAGCGGGCUUUUGGUGUCGGCGCACAGAUCUGGGCUGGCGUUGCGCGGAAGUGCCUUGCAAUCGCGACCUCGUUUGGGGGCCAGCUCACUACGUCUCGUGCCGACGCUUUAACAGGUGUACGCGUGCACCUGCUGUUUUUCUGCGUCCGGUGCGCUGCGGUGCUGUUGAGCAUGGUCCUGGACGUGGCCUGCGCUGUCUGCAGUGACAUAGCACUGAGCUGAGUGACGCCAAGCGGUGCUGGCUGGCUAGCUUUCCUGACGAGUCUUCGAUGGAAGCCUGUAUUCCACCAGAGACUGCUUUCACCCCGACAGGCGCUUGAUCUUCCGGGGUCUCAGCCUUUCGGCUCAACAAGAGGUGAGAAGCGUCACGGGAAUACGGAAAGAAAACGGCGUUCACGGACGCGUGGCGCAGAGACAUGGGAAAGCAAAAGAAAACAAUGAAGGGCCGCUUAGGGUAAUGAUGAGCUGAUGAGGGAAGCUUAAACCGGCCGCCGCAAGCACGUCAUUGGCGCACAUGCAUGUGCCCGUAUAGGCGUGCUUAUCAAUCCUUGCUUGCGCGUUUUUCUCUCUGUUGCUGUCUCUGAAUGCUUCGCUCUUGUCUCCGCGCGACAG